GUAAAGCGCAUGCAGGUGGUUUGUUAAGUCAGAUGUGAAAGCCCGGGGCUCAACCUCGGAAUUGCAUUUGAAACUGGCAGACUAGAGUACUGUAGAGGGGGGUAGAAUUUCAGGUGUAGCGGUGAAAUGCGUAGAGAUCUGAAGGAAUACCGGUGGCGAAGGGCGGCCCCCUGGACAGAUACUGACACUCAGAUGCGAAAGCGUGGGGAGCAAACAGGAUUAGAUACCCUGGUAGUCCACGCCGGUAAACGAUGUCUACUUGGAGGUUGUGGCCUUGAGCCGUGGCUUUCGGAGCUAACGCGUUAAGUAGACCGCCUGGGGAGUACGGUCGCAAGAUUAAAACUCAAAUGAAUUGACGGGGGCCCGCACAAGCGGUGGAGCAUGUGGUUUAAUUCGAUGCAACGCGAAGAACCUUACCUACUCUUGACAUCCAGAGAACUUUCCAGAGAUGGAUUGGUGCCUUCGGGAACUCUGAGACAGGUGCUGCAUGGCUGUUCGUCAGCUCGUGUUGUGAAAUGUUGGGUUAAGUCCCGCAACGAGCGCAACCCUUAUCCUUGUUUGCCAGCGAGUAAUGUCGGGAAACUCCAGGGAGACUGCCGGUGAUAAACCGGAGGAAGGUGGGGACGACGUCAAGUCAUCAUGGCCCUUACGAGUAGGGCUACACACGUGCUACAAUGGCGCAUACAGAGGGCGGCCAACUUGCGAAAGUGAGCGAAUCCCAAAAAGUGCGUCGUAGUCCGGAUUGGAGUCUGCAACUCGACUCCAUGAAGUCGGAAUCGCUAGUAAUCGUGGAUCAGAAUGCCACGGUGAAUACGUUCCCGGGCCUUGUACACACCGCCCGUCACACCAUGGGAGUGGGCUGCAAAAGAAGUAGGUAGUUUAACCUUCGGGGGGACGCUACCACUCGGUACGG
This 913-nucleotide ribosomal RNA is filed under the name Vibrio alginolyticus. RNAcentral's name for it is "bacterial SSU rRNA". It matches the Rfam family "Bacterial small subunit ribosomal RNA", at positions 560 to 1467 of the family's 1533-position model. Lineage: Bacteria; Pseudomonadati; Pseudomonadota; Gammaproteobacteria; Vibrionales; Vibrionaceae. The record is from RNAcentral.